CUGUGCCCACUUCCUAGAGGAAAACGGGCAAAGCCCAGGCUGCUACAAAGCCCAGCGGUGGGGCAAGGACUGCCCUGAGUGCAGCCCUGCCAGCCCCUACCUCUGACGCUCUGGAGUUGGGGGUGGGGGAUCUAACUACCCAAACCUCCCCAGGAAGGCCGCAUCCAGGCGCAGGGAUGACCCAGCACUUACUAUCUACUCACACCCACAUUAAGGUUUCCCUUUGCCCACAAAGAGGGAUGCAGUAACAUGUCAGAUGGUGGUUUGCAUCCCUUUUUUUUGAGAUGGAGUCUCGCGCCCGGAGGUGUCCUCGCGCCGCGCUGCUCCUGCCGCCUCGGGGGUGAGAGAGGGCGCGCCACCCGGACCCCCGGCCUGGGUCCCCCAGCUCCCCAGGCUUGAGUGCCAGGUCCCCCAUCCCAGACAAAUGGUUAUUCACACCUGGCCACAGCAGCCAGACACCAAACGACAGCCCUGGUAACAGGGUCCGCAGGAGGGUGGUUGGCUGGGCAGGACAUCAGGCCCAGCCCUGCCCCUGAGGAGCUCCCGCCUCUUUUUUAAUUUUAAUUUUUAAUUAUGGUAGAAUACACAUAACAAAAUUUACUAUCUUAACCAUUUUCAAGUGUACAAUUCAGUAGUGUUGUUUGUUCACAUUGCUGUGCAACCAAUUUCAGAACUUUUUUUUAUUCUUGCAAAAUAGAAACUCUGUACCCAUUAGAAAACUCCCCGUUUGCCCCUUUCUUGAAGUGCUUCUACUUUUCCUAUUGUUUGACUACUUUAGAUGCCUUACAUAAAUAGAAUCUCACAGUAUCUGUCUUUUUGUGACUGGCUUAUUUCACUUAGUAUCAUGAGAAUAUCAUAUGUCAGAAUUUGAUGCCUGAUAUUCCAUUGUAUAUCUAUACCACAUUUUGUUUAUCCAUUUUUCCACUGGUGGACACUUGGGUUGCUUCCCCUUUUUGGCUAUUGUGAAUAAUGCUGCUGUGAAUAUGAUUGUGCACAUAUCUCUUGGAGACUCUGCUUUCAAUUCUUUUUUUUUUUUUUUUUAGACGGAGUCUCGCUCUGCCGCCCAGGCUGGAGUGCAGUGGCACGAUCUUGGCUCACUGCAAGCUCCGCCUCCCAAGUUCACAAGUAGCUGGGACUACAGGCGCCUGUCACCACGCCCGGCUAAUUUUUUUGUGUUUUUAGUAGAGACGGGGUUUCACCGUGCUAGCCAGGAUGGUCUCGAUCUCCUGACCUUGUGAUCCACCCGCCUCGGCCUCCCAAAGUGUUGGGAUUACAGGCGUGAGCCACCACGCCUGGCCUCAAUUCUUUUAGAUACAUAAUGCAGAAUUUUCUGAUUGCUGGACCAUAUGGUAAUUCUAUUUUUAAUUUUUUGAGGAAUUGCCAUACUGAUCUUACAUUCCCACCAGCAGUGCACAAGGGUCUUAAUUUGUCUGUAUCUCUGCCAAAACUUUUUUUUUUUUUUUAGACUAGCCAUCCUAAUAGGUGUAAGGUGAUAUUUCAUUGCAGCCUUGAUUUGCUCUUCCCUAAUGAUAGAAAUGUUGAGCAAAUUUUUUAACGUGCUUGUUGGCCGUUUAUAUAUCUUCUUUGGAGAAAUGUCAGUUCAACUCCACUCAUUUUUAAAUUGGGUUAUUUGUGUUUUUUUGCUGUUGUUAAGUUUUGGGAGUUCUUUACAUAUUCUGGAUAUGAAUUCCUUUUCAGAUAUAUGAUUUACAAAUCUUUUCUCCCAUUCUGUUGGUUGCUUUUUCACUAUAUUGAUUGUGUCCUUUGAUGAACAUACAUUUUAAAUUUGGAUGUAGUACAAUUUAUUUUUCCUUCUGUUGCCUGUGUUUUUGGUAUCUUAUCUAAGAUAUCAUUGCCAAAUCCAGUGUCAUGAAGACUUUCCCCUAUAUUUUCUUCUAAGAGUUUUAUAGUUUGAGGUCUUAUGUUUAGAUCUUUCAUCUAUUUUGAGUUAAUUUUUGUGUAUGUAAUAAGGUAAGGGUGUGAGUUCAUUCAUUUACGUGUGUGUAUCCAGUUCCAUCAUUUGUUGAAAAUACCAUCAUUUCCCUAAUGAAUGGUCUUGGCACCUUUAUUGAAGGUCAUUUGACCGUAUUCAUGAGGGUUUGUUUCUGGGCUCUGUAUUCUAUUCCAUUGGUCUUUGUGUCUGUCCUUAUGCUAAUACCACACUGUUUUGAUUACUGUAGCUUUGUAGUAAGUUUUGAAAUCAGGAAGUGUGAGUCCUUAAAUGUUGUUCUUUUUCCAGAUUGUUUUGGCUCUUUGGGCUCCUUAAAGAUCGAUAUAAAUCUUAUGAUAGAUUUCUCUGUUUCUGCAAACAAUGUCAUUGGGAUUUUUUUUUUCUUUUCUUUUUUUUUUUUGACAGGUCUUGUUCUGUCAUCUAGGCUGGAAUGCAAUGGUGUGAUCCUAGCUUACUGCGGCCUUGAACCCCUGGGUUCAAGCAGUUCUUUAGCCUCAGCCUCUGACUAGCUAGGAUUACAGAUACAUGCUACUAUGCCUGGCUGUCAUUGGGAUUUUAAUGAAAAGCUUUCAGUCUUUCACCAUUGAGUAUGAUGUUAUGGGCUUUUCACAUAUAGCUUUCAUCAUGUUGAGAUUUGCUAGUGUUUUUUUGUUUGUUUGUUUGUUUUGAGAAUUCUUGGUUAGAUUUUGUUUUGUGGUUCUUGGAUUUGUACCUAAUCUGUUGGAGUCAUCAGUCCACAAACCCAUGAAUUUCCUGAGCCAGUAAAAAUGCUUCCAAUGGGCAGCUGACAGAGGACUGCUACAGACAACUGGAGCUGCCUUAAUGCAUUUGGUGACUGCUGCACCUGCCCGCUGAGGCCCCUCAGCCUGGUGGACAGCUGUCUCCUACAGUGCCUCAGUGGGGCCGUAGGGCAUGGUAGGGCAGGGCUCCCAGGCCCUGUGGCUGUCUGCCUCUGAUCCCAGCCUAGCUGUGAACCCUGUCAGUUCGCUCCUCAGGGAUGCUUUGGUCCCUGUGCCCACCCCAGAGUACAGAGGACGGGGCUCAGCUCCAUGUCUGGGCCUUUUACACCCCGCCUCCGCCUCCACUGCGCCUGCCCUCCCUAAGGCAGGGCAUGGGCCACACGGCACCUUGCGGGGUGGGUGCCCGUCCCGGUAAGCCGUGGAGGCAAUGGGCCAGCCACCGCCACCAAUGUCCGGCCCACUUAGUAGGGCACUACACCUCUCCACACUCCUACAAACUUCAUGCUCAUCAUUGGGGGCGGAGU
RNAcentral lists this long non-coding RNA (3215 nucleotides) under Homo sapiens (human). RNAcentral describes it as "non-protein coding lnc-ARVCF-1:3". Lineage: Eukaryota; Metazoa; Chordata; Mammalia; Primates; Hominidae. The record is from RNAcentral.